AAGAUGGUCCAGCGGGUGGUGUGGGAUGGAGUGGGGUGGGUGCUCACAAUUGCAUCAUGGCUCCACUUUUGGUGGCGGUUACACAACCAUGGCACUCGUUCAGAAGCGGCGAAGGCCACAAUAAAAGUCUUCUUGCAAAUCAAAGGAGCAGGCCGGGAGUGGUGUUUACACAUCUCACUAAGCCCACCCUUACCCUCUUACAGGGUAUGUGCCCACCGCCAUUGUGCCGUCAUGUGAUCCGAGGCCCGGUUUAAAAGCUUACCCGGGCCCGGGUCAGGGGACAGCGUGGUGCGUUUCCCACUCCUCCACAUCUCCAAGGAGCUUCUGGUCCCGUGCAGGUGCUUUGUUUUGCAACAUGUCGGACGGCGAGGAGGCGUACGAGGAAAACCGUAAGUCUAUUGAUGCAUGCAUCACAUAAUAAAUGCAAAAUGAUGCAUUUCGGAAGCCUGACAGCAUAAUUGCUUAAGUCGUUUUUGAAAUAUUUUCAGAAAACCAUGAAAAGAUAAACACACAAAGAAAAAAAUUCAAAACAAACAGAAAACACACCAUUUUCUAGCAAGCAUGUUUGUAUUUUGUUUGUUGAUAUUGUGACAGUAAGUUAAAAAUAACUUGGCCAAUUAUGCUAUUAGACUUACAAUAAUGAUCAUAUGUGUUAUGAUGUGUAUAUGCAAUUUUUAUAGAUUAAAAUGUAUGCUUUUAUGGAUUUAAUGUUUAAAAUGGGUUAUUAUAUGAUAUAUUGAAUCAUUUUUUAAUGAAAUUUUACAUUGAAUUAUUAUUUUAUGACAUUAUAUUUCUAAUUAUGUAUUUCAAUUAAGCUACAUAUAUUUUUCAAAAAAGGUAAAAAUAAGUUAACCACUAAUAAUAUGAAAAAAUCAACACCAAAUAAAAGGGUAAAAAUGGUCAUUCUUAAAUGUCAUUCAAGAGUAAAGUUAUGAAAUGAUACCAAUUUAUUUUUGUUUCAUAUCAAUAUGCAUGUAUUUGAUUUAUUUUUAAUUAUUACCUCAUAUUAUUUCAAUUUCAAUUAUUUCAAGAAUUUUAAAUUUUAGCUCAAAUAAUUGAAAAAAAACAUUUGCAAAAAUGAGCUCACCACUCAGUGAUGAUAACAAUAAUAUCUUUGUAUGAUUUAAAUUAUCAUCAAUAUCACUGAAUAAAACAGAAAAAAACAUAGUAAAUGACUAAAUAAUCCAUUUAUCGUAUUAAACUUUAAAUUAUUUAAAUAUUAUAUUUAUAUUUGAACCAAGCCAGUGUUUUUAAUAAUUAUUAUACUACAGUAAAUAAUCAAUGUUGAUCAACAUUCUUAACUGUCAUAGAAGUGUAAAAAAUUGGAUAACCACUCAUUAUAAUAAUAAUGACACAUUUUAUAGGUGAUGUAUAAAAACAUCUACACUGAAUAAAACGGUAAAAUUAAUAUUGUAUUAAAUAAAUAUAAAAUACAUAUUCUUAACUGCAAUGCAAUAAAAAAUAAUAUAGUUCAUAUUGUGUAUCAUCAAUAAAAAAAAUCGGGGAAAAAAUGUUAGUGAUACACAUUUUUACCUGUCAUACAAGUGCAAAAAAUUCACUCCUCGUCUUAACAGUAAGGUGACAAUAUAACGUUAUGUAUUGUCGAUUUCGGGCUUGUAAGCACCCAUGAAGUCACAUUUCCAACUUCCACAAAUACACGCGCGGUUCCUUGUUUUCGAAGCUCACUGAUCUGCGCUUGUUUGCUGUGCAGCCCCUCCAAUCAGCUGCUGGUGUUUUUCCUGCCACUUGAUUUGCUGCUUUACGUGCUAAUCCGCCGGCUUCCCGGUGCUCUUUUUGUAUUUUUGUCCCGCUGCCACUGUCCAGGCAGCUGCGCCUGUCCACCGCGUUGACCUUUAUCCCCCGCUGCAGUGGUUCCCAAAACCGGUUACAUCAAGUAGUACUAUCUCAAAGUACAACAACAACAAAAAAGUUAACAAAAGUUGUCCUGCACUUAACAAUUGUACUGGAUUGAAUAAAAAAAUAAAGUUCAAGCCAAUGUAAAACUAUGCACAGUUGAAACAUUUUAAUUCAGUGAUUCUUUCAUGUUCCACUAGAGGGAGCCAGAGUACCACUCCCAGUACAAGUACUACACUUUGAGAAUCAUUACAAGUUUCUGCGGCUUCCAAAAACAAGCACGCUAGGUUUAUUGAAGACUCUAAAUUGGCUGUCGGUGUGAAUGUGAGAGUGCAUGGUUGUUUGUCUGUAAAGUGCCCUACGAUUGGCCACUGACUAGACCAGGUUGUACUCAAGCCUGGUUGGAAGUACGGCAUCCCGUUGCGAUAACGCGGUCUUUAAAACGUUUUAAAAGUAACAUUUGAAUUCUUGAAUAUCUUACAAGUGGAACAUUUCAAGCUAAAGUAACUCAUUUGAAAGAUGUUUUAAUGGAUGCUAUGAUAUAUAAAAUUAGGAUUUUAUAUCAUUUGAUUUGAAAAGAAUUUAAUAGUUUUCGGCUUUAAUUACAUUUCAAAACAAUUAAAAAAAACAAGUUUAAAGUUAAAAUUUAGAAUGCUCAAUUUAAUGGAUGAUAUUCUAUAUUACAUCAUUAUUCAUAUUAUGUACUGUAUUAUUAAAUUAUUUUAUUUUAACUACAUC
Molecule: long non-coding RNA, 2592 nt
Organism: Phyllopteryx taeniolatus (common seadragon)
Lineage: Eukaryota; Metazoa; Chordata; Actinopteri; Syngnathiformes; Syngnathidae
Exons: 4
Source: RefSeq, a predicted model, not a curated record